Molecule: ribosomal RNA, 301 nt
Filed under: uncultured bacterium
Lineage: Bacteria
Description: partial 16S ribosomal RNA
Rfam family: Bacterial small subunit ribosomal RNA
Source: RNAcentral
CAGUCGCCACGGUAAUACGAAGGGUGCAAGCGUUAAUCGGAAUUACUGGGCGUAAAGCGCACGCAGGCGGUUUGUUAAGUCAGAUGUGAAAUCCCCGAGCUUAACUUGGGAACUGCAUUUGAAACUGGCAAGCUAGAGUCUUGUAGAGGGGGGUAGAAUUCCAGGUGUAGCGGUGAAAUGCGUAGAGAUCUGGAGGAAUACCGGUGGCGAAGGCGGCCCCCUGGACAAAGACUGACGCUCAGGUGCGAAAGCGUGGGGAGCAAACAGGAUUAGAUACCCGCGUAGUCCCUGUCUCUUAUAC